CAAGUGAAAAGAUAUUUGAUUUACGCAAUUGGGACGGGAUCACAUGCUUUACUUUCACAAGAAACUCGUAACAGCCACUGAACAAAAGAAGAAACAGAAUCACUUGAAUUGAUAGCACAGAUAAUCGCCACCUUUUAUUCGAUUUAUCUUCGUCAUCAUCGCUGUUUGGUACAUUACCAUGGCAGUUCAGGGAAAAUGCAGAGAACAAACCAUUUCAGGCUUACACGCGCAUACAUAUAUAUGCAACGGCCAUUCUUAGGCAGCGGAGUUUCCACAAGUCCAUGGCUAUGUCUUAUUUAUCUUCACCAGAUGCACCAACAGCAGGCGAUCCGGUCGACAAUGAGGCAACGCCCUCAGACAAGCACCUGAGCUGCAGCCAGCCUAGCGAUCGGGACCCUGCAAAAAAGGAGUCCAUGAAAAGAUGUUAACGGCUGUAGAUAGCGUCAAAGUAGUGCUAAUCUUCUGAAUUUCAACAAUCUCAGCC
This 484-nucleotide long non-coding RNA is filed under the name Hordeum vulgare. Its description in RNAcentral is "long non-coding RNA (HVUL_LNC001735)". The record is from RNAcentral. Lineage: Eukaryota; Viridiplantae; Streptophyta; Magnoliopsida; Poales; Poaceae.